This is a long non-coding RNA of Puntigrus tetrazona (Sumatra barb), 3223 nucleotides long. RefSeq lists it as uncharacterized. The transcript is spliced from 2 exons. NCBI's taxonomy places the organism in Eukaryota, Metazoa, Chordata, Actinopteri, Cypriniformes, Cyprinidae. The record is from RefSeq and is a predicted model, not a curated record.
GUUCGCCACUUCAUUCGAAAAACACUUGUCUUCUCUUCCCAUGACUGUCAUCUCAACGGAGCGGCGUGAACUCCACAAAUCAAACUCUGGGAUGGGAGUAUAUAAAGAGGAAAGCUGAAGUGGAGCGAGUGCAGAAGCACCACUGAGCCGUUUUCUGACACUCAGAGCAAAAGACACAUUCCAGAGGACGAGACAACAGCGGGGAGGGGGUCCGGGCUUUUUUCCACUGUAAAUGUCACCAUGGACCACAAAAAAAGCAAAGCGCUCAGAAAUGAGCUCGGAUCAGCUACGAGCUGCGGUGGGGCUCGCGGAGGCUGGGGGGUGUUUCUCGGAGAUGUGUCUGCUGGAGGAGAUGGGCACGGUUCAGCUGAGGUCACCGAAAACAGGGCGGCAGGAAUGUUGUGGUACGUACUGAGACGAGAGGUGGCCUUUCAGAGCUUACGGUUUACAUUGAAACACAACCCCACCGCACAUUGUGAGAGCUGCCGGCUAUACACUGCAUGUCAUAUGACCCAGAUUAAAAUAUUCAUUCAUAAUUCAUUUUAACCAUCACGAUAAACAAUCCCAUAUAAAUAAGUCAACGUUUGUUUUUUUUCCCCUUUUGGAAUGAUUUACCUUCAUGUCAUUCCGAACUCUGUUUAUUUUUUAUUGAAUGCUUAUUUUAGCGCGGCCAUUUUUCUCACAGUUCUCAUCUUAUAGCUCAAUAUUUUCUUAAAUGUAUAACUAUGAGAUUAAACUUGAUUCUGAGAUAAAACAAUUCUGUGAAAAACUGCAAGUUUAUUACAACAACUGAUAUAAAAACGUCAGAAUUGUAUGUAAAAAAAGUUUUCAUCAUACAAUUCUUUUUUUAAACAAAAUAAUUACAUACAUGUAGAUAUUAUUUAAUGUAAUUAAUCACACAUUGAAUGAUAAAUUCCUCCCAAAAGAUAAUUUAAUAACAGUUUGAUCCAUUUUAUUACAUAUACUCUUUUGGACCACGAGGAGUGAAUUGUCAUUUUUGGGUGUGUGAAGUUAAAUAUUUAUUUGGUUAAUUUUAUUAUUAUUAAUAUGGAUAUAUAAAAUUAUUUAUUAAAUGAAAUGAUACUGUAAAUCAUAAACUAAAACUGCCAGUUAUUAGACACUGAGUCAUCUAUUCAUUCACUUGAAUGGCUGAUUCAUUCAGGAGUGAAGUAAAUGGUUCUUUAUGAAUGGUUCACUGAAUCAUUAGGCUUGUUUCACUAGAAUGUUAAAAGCGCUAAUAAUUUUAAUGCUUUAUUUUUUAUUAAUGUUAAAUUCUCAGCUAUUAUCCCAUGUUUGCUUUUGGUAACAAUAUUGCUUAAUACGUUAAAUAGAGCUUUUUAGCACCAUUCACAAGACAUUUCAUUUCUAAACUCCCACGAUCCUUACAAUAAACAACCAAAUAAAACAUCAUCGGAUUCCCACCGGCUGACACUGAAAGUGCUUUUAGCGCCAAUCGUUGGACAUUUCACUUUGAACAGAUUUCACAUUCUUCCUUUUUGUGUGCUGGGUUGAAGAAGUCAAAGAUUUGGAAAAAAACACGAAAGUGAGUAUGAUGACAUAAUUUUGGGGUGAACUAUCCCUUUAAGAGGCUCUUUUUGAACCAGUGUGCUGUCCAUUGCAGGAUGAAGGACAAGAGGACGGCAUACGGGAGGAGAAACGGUCCAGCCUACGGUGGAAGGCUAAUCCCAAGAGAGUGGAGCAGAGCACAUGCACAUCCAAUCAACACACAAUGCGACAAGGCCUGAGGUUUCCAGGUAUAGACAGGGAGUUUCUAAAGACCGGUUUACCAGGUCCAGGGAUUAUCCUUCUGGGGUUACCCAACCCCUCAGUAACGUGACCUCCUCUAGCCCCGUGGUAUUGUGGUCUACUCUGCCCAGAGCAUUAUGAUUAACCAUCUCGGCUUAGUCCAUCUGUACGGCCAGCUUCAGCAAACCUGACAUCUGUCUAAGCAAAACAAGAGCACUUCCUGCACGGGAAAUAUGAGAAAGACAUUCUCACUUAUUUGAGUUUCAACAGCGAACACCUCUCUGUGACGAAUGAUACUUUAGACAUCUCGAGACCCAAUCGACGAAUAUGAUUUUUCCGUCCUUUCACUCCCACGAAUCAAAUAUUAAGAAAGCGCCUGCCCCAAGGUCAAAUCCCUCUCUCCAGAGCUCCUCAAUAGGAACAAACCACCAGGAUCAAGUUCAGCUCCUGACAAGAAGUCCCCGGCUCUGUCAAGUGUUAAGUUCCAUUGUGACCUACAAUAGCACACAAUGGCCCUCGUUGCACCCGGGCUGUCCCUGCUGCCUGAUAAAUUAACACGGGAGCAUCUGCAUCUGAGCAGCUCAUCAGAUCACUGAGAUGUUUGACCAAAGAGCUGUCCCAGUUCUGUAAAGAACAGCAUUUUUACUAAUUAAUCAGAGGUGAUUACUAGAACGCUCUUCACAAAAAGUUCAAUUGCAUAUUGCAUAACUGCAAGUUUAGAUAUUAUGCAAUCCAACCCCAUAAAUCAUUACUUAUGGGUUGUCAAAUGAAUGCGAAAUUAGAGGGGUAGUUCACUCAAAAAUGACAAUUCUGUCAUCAUUUACUGGCCCUCAAGUUGUCUCAAACCUGUAUGACAUUUAUAGUUCUGUUGAACAUCAAAGAAGGUAUGCUGAAGAAUGUUGGUAAGCAAACAGUUGAUGGAGGUCACUGACUUCAAUAGUAAAAAAAAUACUGUGGAAGUCAAUGGCUACUGUUGACUGUUUCAGUAAAGGGAGUCAAAUAUGUAAAAAAAAUAUAUAUAAUUUUUCAGUGUGUAAUGUGCUGCUAUUAAUGUGUGAACAUUAGAAACAGAAUGACAAAACUGACUGUACAAUGAACUAAUUAAUCACUCAUUGAAGAAAAACGUAACUUUUUUGAAAAUAGGUUCAUUUUCCAACUGCGCUGUUCCUGCACUGACGGCAACCAUGAUUUUUACGCCGGAAUGAGAAUAUAGUUCCUACCCACAUUGGCUUGGAAAUAUUUAACUUUUUAUUUUCUGUCGGUCUAAGUAAACAAUGUGAAUACAGAUGAGUCAAGGUUUAAAUAGGCAAAUGAUCUAAACUCUUUGGUUAUUUUUGAGCGAGAUGCACGUCAGUAAUGUAUGCUAAGCUAAGCAUCCCACCACCGCCAAAACCGGAGAUCGGCUGAAUGGAUAAAAAAAUAGUAAAACUAUUUAACUCUAGUGAAUAUGGCAAAUGAGCCUAUUGUUUUUUGUUUU